AGAUUGAACGCUGGCGGCAGGCCUAACACAUGCAAGUCGAGCGGUAGAGAGGUGCUUGCACCUCUUGAGAGCGGCGGACGGGUGAGUAAUGCCUAGGAAUCUGCCUAGUGGUGGGGGAUAACGUUCGGAAACGGACGCUAAUACCGCAUACGUCCUACGGGAGAAAGCGGGGGACCUUCGGGCCUCGCGCCAUUAGAUGAGCCUAGGUCGGAUUAGCUAGUUGGUGAGGUAAUGGCUCACCAAGGCGACGAUCCGUAACUGGUCUGAGAGGAUGAUCAGUCACACUGGAACUGAGACACGGUCCAGACUCCUACGGGAGGCAGCAGUGGGGAAUAUUGGACAAUGGGCGCAAGCCUGAUCCAGCCGUACCGCGUGGUGAGAGGCUCGGUGUAAGCCUUUGUGGAAGAAGCAUCGGUAAUACCGGUGUUCUGACGUACCCAAAGAAUAACGCACCGCUAACGUUCGUGCCAGCUAGCCGCGGUAA
This 484-nucleotide ribosomal RNA is filed under the name uncultured soil bacterium. Its description in RNAcentral is "bacterial SSU rRNA". It matches the Rfam family "Bacterial small subunit ribosomal RNA", at positions 26 to 523 of the family's 1533-position model. The record is from RNAcentral.